Molecule: ribosomal RNA, 261 nt
Filed under: uncultured bacterium
Lineage: Bacteria
Description: partial 16S ribosomal RNA
Rfam family: Bacterial small subunit ribosomal RNA
Source: RNAcentral
UUAGUGGCGGACGGGUGAGUAACGCGUGGAUAACCUGCCGUAUACCGGGGGAUAACACUUAGAAAUAGGUGCUAAUACCGCAUAAGCGCACGGCUCCGCAUGGGGCAGUGUGAAAACUCCGGUGGUAUACGAUGGAUCCGCGUCUGAUUAGCUAGUUGGCGGGGUAACGGCCCACCAAGGCAGCGAUCAGUAGCCGGCCUGAGAGGGUGGACGGCCACAUUGGGACUGAGACACGGCCCAAACUCCUACGGGAGGCAGCAG